GUAGGUGGAGAUGGUCGAGAAAUUGAGACACAUGGUUCUGCUGUCCUGGGUAACUUCUGCGACAAGCGCAUUCGAUGGUACAAAAGACAUAAUGGAAGCUCUUAGAAACAAACAUACUAAUCUAGCCAAUGAGCUUGAGCUUUAGGGUGGUGCUGCUGGAGCUCAUGAUAGGCAGACGGUCAAUGGACAAGAGCCGAUCAGCAGGGUAAGACAAGUAUUAUUUAUGUACUUUAUGACUCAUGCGC
Zea mays is the source of this 245-nucleotide long non-coding RNA. RefSeq lists it as uncharacterized. The transcript is spliced from 2 exons. Lineage: Eukaryota; Viridiplantae; Streptophyta; Magnoliopsida; Poales; Poaceae. The record is from RefSeq and is a predicted model, not a curated record.